This is a long non-coding RNA of Candoia aspera, 654 nucleotides long. RefSeq lists it as uncharacterized. The record is from RefSeq and is a predicted model, not a curated record. The transcript is spliced from 4 exons. Lineage: Eukaryota; Metazoa; Chordata; Lepidosauria; Squamata; Candoiidae.
AAGCAACACUGCCAAAACAAAGAAAGAUAAAGUGAGGGAAUAAAAAUAAAAGUAUGGUACAAUGAUGGCAGGACACCAUGGUGCUUUGCCUUCAAGAGGGGGAGGAAAAGAAACAAAGAUAACACCUUUUGGCAGAGGAAUAUUAAAAUGUAGAGGUGUUGCAUUUUAAUUUUGCAGAGUUUCUGAAGCUAACUUAUUCAAUACAAAUGGGUGCUGAUGGAUCUCAGUUACUUUCAGGAAGUACUCUUCACUUCACAGAAUGAUUCCCUGCAUGAGCAACACUGCUUCCUAUUCACAUAUUCCUAUGCUGCUAAUACAAAAGAACACACUGAUCCAUUAGCUAUUAUUGACAGAGUUCAUUGUAGACAUGAAAAAGAGAAACUGAAGCCUUCCAGCAGUUUUCAUUUGAGUAGUGAAAUAAAACCAGAGAGAGAACAGAAAGAAAGAGGCGUUAACCUCCCUUCUGCUAAAUUUUUACCUUUUCAGGUGUCUUUUUAUUCUUACAGACUAUUUUUGAAUACUCAGCGGCAAAUCUCUAUUGAUCUUUUCAUCUCAAUGCUAGAAUAGCAUUGUAAAGAGUGCCUUGCUUUCAAAUAUUCUUUUUAAAAUGUGACUUGCUGAGUAUAACAACUCAGAAAAAAGCCCUACUUUUUA